UACGUAGGUCCUGAGCGUUGUCCGGAUUUAUUGGGCGUAAAGCGAGCGCAGGCGGUUAGAUAAGUCUGAAGUUAAAGGCUGUGGCGUAACCAUAGUACGCUUUGGAAACUGUUUAACUUGAGUGCAAGAGGGGAGAGUGGAAUUCCAUGUGUAGCGGUGAAAUGCGUAGAUAUAUGGAGGAACACCGGUGGCGAAAGCGGCUCUCUGGCUUGUAACUGACGCUGAGGAUCGAAAGCGUGGGAGCAAACAGG
This 251-nucleotide ribosomal RNA is filed under the name uncultured bacterium. Its description in RNAcentral is "partial 16S ribosomal RNA". It matches the Rfam family "Bacterial small subunit ribosomal RNA", at positions 524 to 776 of the family's 1533-position model. The record is from RNAcentral.